RNAcentral lists this long non-coding RNA (5668 nucleotides) under Citrus sinensis (sweet orange). RNAcentral's name for it is "long non-coding RNA (CSIN_LNC004318)". Lineage: Eukaryota; Viridiplantae; Streptophyta; Magnoliopsida; Sapindales; Rutaceae. The record is from RNAcentral.
CAACAAGCUGGCUGAACAGCCCCACCUAAUACACCAUAGCUGAUGCAUGGUGUUAGCUAGAUUGUCACUUGCUCACAUGUUAUUGCUGUUGCUGCAUUCAAGGGAGCCGUAGUGGCAGCCGACAAUAGCAAUAACACUGUUGCAAGAGACGCUAUGCCAUUGUAAUUAUGGUUUAUGCAUUGUUUGCUAAUCUGGUUCUGUGGCGUUUAUAUAGAAUACAAAAAUGAGGUGGGUUCCAUCGACAAUUUAGAAUACCAAUGCCGUCCCUUCCCCCUCAAGCCCCAAAUGGCUGCUGGAAAUUUAAGGCUGAAUUUAGAAAUUUCUUUCUGUUGAAUUACUUACAUGAAACGAAAGUAAUUUAAUACCAUUCUCCCAUUUCUCACAUUAUAUAUACUCAUUUAUUUUCACUCCAUCAAUUUUAUUCGAUUUAAAUUCAUACAAGUCUGUUCAUAUUGUUAAAUAUAAUUUUGAUAAAUUCAUAUGAAAUUAUUGUUAAAACAAUAAUGAUUGAAAUUUUUACAUUUAAGUCUAAAUUGUUAUGUGACAUUCAUCCAUCAGAUAGUGAAUUUUGAUAAAAAUAAUCUUUUACCAUUCACUAGAUGAAUAAUAUAUCAACUCAAUUGUUGGGAUCCUUAAUAUUAUUCUUUUUAAAAAUCAUGAUAUUAUUAAUUAGGAUUAUUUUAUUCAUUUUUUCCAUUAUUAAUUCAAACCCUAUCCUAAUCUUACAUGGAACACAAUACAAUAGAACACUAAUAAAAUAAUAUUAUUAGAACCAAGAAAAAUUUAUUAAUUAAGUAAUGUUAAGUAAUUGACUCAUAAUUUUGUAUGUUUAUAAUUUUAUAUAUUAAUCUAAAUCAAGAUUAAGAAAACAAAAUAUUCAAUCAAGAUUUUAAUUUAUCCAGAUUAUAUUGUAGGUACAAAAGAAUAAAGAAAGGACAUUCACUUUGCACACGUAAAUAUCAUAUAUGUUUACAUUGCAACACAUAACAAAAGUUCAUUUUAUUAGAAUGACUUGUAUAAUAAUGUAAAAUGAAAAAUGCCAAUAAAAUAUCUCAGGCUUUAUUAAGAUAUUUUUAGGACAAUAAAACAAAAGUAGCAGCCUUGUUCUCUUUCAUUUGCGACUAAUGAGGGGGGCUGCAUCGACAAUUUCAGCUUGUCCUUUUAUAAACCUUAUCCUGACAACCUCUCCUUUGCGGUUCUCUAAUUUGGAGACUAUUCACCAUAGUACAUGUCUUUCUCUAAAUGAGAAUAAUCUUUCUCUUAUCUUUGUCGGGUUUUAAUUAAGAAUUAUGAUCCUCUUUUUGUUAUUUUCUUUCCUUUCCUCUCAUUAUCAUUAUAAUAUAGUGAAAAAUGGCUGACUUAAUUAUUUACAUCAAAAUAAAAAACUCAAUCGUAGCCACUCAUUAAGCGAUGAAAGAAAUUAAAGACAAAGAGCUUCAAUUUUUUUUUCUAUUUUAAUAGAGAUGAAUGUGAAUUUAAUAUCAUUCUCCCAUUUCUCACAUCAUAUAUACUCAUUUAUUUUCACUCUAAUAAUUUUAUUCAAUUUAAAUUUAUACAAGUCUAUUCAUAUUGUUAAAUGUAAUUUCAUAUGAAUAAUUUAUACAUAUGAAAUUAUUGUUAAAACAAUAAUGAUUGAAAUUUUUACAUUUAAGUCUAAAUUGUUAUGUGACAUUCAUCCAUUAGAUAGUGAAUUUUGAUAAAAAUAAUAUUCUACCAUUCAUCUAGUGAAUGGUAAAAGAUUAUUUUUAUCAAAAUUCACUAUCUGAUGGAUGAAUGUCACAUAACAAUUUAGACUUAAAUGUAAAAAUUUCAAUCAUUAUUGUUUUAACAAUAAUUUCAUAUGUAUAAAUUAUUCAUAUGAAAUUACAUUUAACAAUAUGAAUAGACUUGUAUAAAUUUAAACAAAAGUUCAUUUUAUUAGAAUGACUUGUAUAAUAAUGUAAAAUGAAAAAUGCCAAUAAAAUAUCUCAGGCUUUAUUAAGAUAUUUUUAGGACAAUAAAACAAAAGUAGCAGCCUUGUUCUCUUUCAUUUGCGACUAAUGAGGGGGGCUGCAUCGACAAUUUCAGCUUGUCCUUUUAUAAACCUUAUCCUGACAACCUCUCCUUUGCGGUUCUCUAAUUUGGAGACUAUUCACCAUAGUACAUGUCUUUCUCUAAAUGAGAAUAAUCUUUCUCUUAUCUUUGUCGGGUUUUAAUUAAGAAUUAUGAUCCUCUUUUUGUUAUUUUCUUUCCUUUCCUCUCAUUAUCAUUAUAAUAUAGUGAAAAAUGGCUGACUUAAUUAUUUACAUCAAAAUAAAAAACUCAAUCGUAGCCACUCAUUAAGCGAUGAAAGAAAUUAAAGACAAAGAGCUUCAAUUUUUUUUUCUAUUUUAAUAGAGAUGAAUGUGAAUUUAAUAUCAUUCUCCCAUUUCUCACAUCAUAUAUACUCAUUUAUUUUCACUCUAAUAAUUUUAUUCAAUUUAAAUUUAUACAAGUCUAUUCAUAUUGUUAAAUGUAAUUUCAUAUGAAUAAUUUAUACAUAUGAAAUUAUUGUUAAAACAAUAAUGAUUGAAAUUUUUACAUUUAAGUCUAAAUUGUUAUGUGACAUUCAUCCAUUAGAUAGUGAAUUUUGAUAAAAAUAAUAUUCUACCAUUCAUCUAGUGAAUGGUAAAAGAUUAUUUUUAUCAAAAUUCACUAUCUGAUGGAUGAAUGUCACAUAACAAUUUAGACUUAAAUGUAAAAAUUUCAAUCAUUAUUGUUUUAACAAUAAUUUCAUAUGUAUAAAUUAUUCAUAUGAAAUUACAUUUAACAAUAUGAAUAGACUUGUAUAAAUUUAAAUUGAAUAAAAUUAUUAGAGUGAAAAUAAAUGAGUAUAUAUGAUGUGAGAAAUGGGAUAGGACAAUAAAACAAAAGUAGCAGCCUUGUUCUCUUUCAUUUGCGACUAAUGAGGGGGGCUGCAUCGACAAUUUCAGCUUGUCCUUUUAUAAACCUUAUCCUGACAACCUCUCCUUUGCGGUUCUCUAAUUUGGAGACUAUUCACCAUAGUACAUGUCUUUCUCUAAAUGAGAAUAAUCUUUCUCUUAUCUUUGUCGGGUUUUAAUUAAGAAUUAUGAUCCUCUUUUUGUUAUUUUCUUUCCUUUCCUCUCAUUAUCAUUAUAAUAUAGUGAAAAAUGGCUGACUUAAUUAUUUACAUCAAAAUAAAAAACUCAAUCGUAGCCACUCAUUAAGCGAUGAAAGAAAUUAAAGACAAAGAGCUUCAAUUUUUUUUUCUAUUUUAAUAGAGAUGAAUGUGAAUUUAAUAUCAUUCUCCCAUUUCUCACAUCAUAUAUACUCAUUUAUUUUCACUCUAAUAAUUUUAUUCAAUUUAAAUUUAUACAAGUCUAUUCAUAUUGUUAAAUGUAAUUUCAUAUGAAUAAUUUAUACAUAUGAAAUUAUUGUUAAAACAAUAAUGAUUGAAAUUUUUACAUUUAAGUCUAAAUUGUUAUGUGACAUUCAUCCAUUAGAUAGUGAAUUUUGAUAAAAAUAAUAUUCUACCAUUCACUAGAUGAAUAAUAUAUCAGCUUAAUUGUUGGGAUCCCUGACAUUGUUCGUUUUAAAAAUCAUGAUAUUAUUAAUUAGGAUUAUUUUAUUCAUUUUUUUCGUUAUUAAUUCAAAUCCUAUCCUAAUCUUACACGGAACACAAUACAAUAGAACACUAAUAAAAUAAUAUUAUUAUAACCAAGAAAAAUUUAUUAAUUAAGUAAUGUAACUAUUAAGUAAUUGACUCAUAAUUUUGUAUGUUUAUAAUUUUAUAUGUUGACCUAAAUCAAGAUUAAAAAAAAAUUAUUCAAUCAAGAUUUUAAUUUACCCAUAAGAAUAAAGAAAGGACAUUCACUUUGCACACGUAAAUAUCAUAUAUGUUUACAUUGCAACACAUAUCAUUAGAAUGACUUGUAUAAUAAUGUAAAAUGCAAAAUGCCAAUAAAAUAUCUCAGGCUUUAUUUUAGAGUAAUAGAAGAUAUUUUUAGGACAAUAAAACAAAAGUAGCAGCCUUGUUCUCUUUCAUUUGCGACUAAUGAGGGGGGCUGCAUCGACAAUUUCAGCUUGUCCUUUUAUAAACCUUAUCCUGACAACCUCUCCUUUGCGGUUCUCUAAUUUGGAGACUAUUCACCAUAGUACAUGUCUUUCUCUAAAUGAGAAUAAUCUUUCUCUUAUCUUUGUCGGGUUUUAAUUAAGAAUUAUGAUCCUCUUUUUGUUAUUUUCUUUCCUUUCCUCUCAUUAUCAUUAUAAUAUAGUGAAAAAUGGCUGACUUAAUUAUUUACAUCAAAAUAAAAAACUCAAUCGUAGCCACUCAUUAAGCGAUGAAAGAAAUUAAAGACAAAGAGCUUCAAUUUUUUUUUCUAUUUUAAUAGAGAUGAAUGUGAAUUUAAUAUCAUUCUCCCAUUUCUCACAUCAUAUAUACUCAUUUAUUUUCACUCUAAUAAUUUUAUUCAAUUUAAAUUUAUACAAGUCUAUUCAUAUUGUUAAAUGUAAUUUCAUAUGAAUAAUUUAUACAUAUGAAAUUAUUGUUAAAACAAUAAUGAUUGAAAUUUUUACAUUUAAGUCUAAAUUGUUAUGUGACAUUCAUCCAUUAGAUAGUGAAUUUUGAUAAAAAUAAUAUUCUACCAUUCACUAGAUGAAUAAUAUAUCAGCUUAAUUGUUGGGAUCCCUGACAUUGUUCGUUUUAAAAAUCAUGAUAUUAUUAAUUAGGAUUAUUUUAUUCAUUUUUUUCGUUAUUAAUUCAAAUCCUAUCCUAAUCUUACACGGAACACAAUACAAUAGAACACUAAUAAAAUAAUAUUAUUAUAACCAAGAAAAAUUUAUUAAUUAAGUAAUGUAACUAUUAAGUAAUUGACUCAUAAUUUUGUAUGUUUAUAAUUUUAUAUGUUGACCUAAAUCAAGAUUAAAAAAAAAUUAUUCAAUCAAGAUUUUAAUUUACCCAUAAGAAUAAAGAAAGGACAUUCACUUUGCACACGUAAAUAUCAUAUAUGUUUACAUUGCAACACAUAUCAUUAGAAUGACUUGUAUAAUAAUGUAAAAUGCAAAAUGCCAAUAAAAUAUCUCAGGCUUUAUUUUAGAGUAAUAGAAGAUAUUUUUAGGACAAUAAAACAAAAGUAGCAGCCUUGUUCUCUUUCAUUUGCGACUAAUGAGGGGGGCUGCAUCGACAAUUUCAGCUUGUCCUUUUAUAAACAACUGCAGAUUUAGUUCACCCUACAAUAAAAUCAAACCCAAAAGGUAAAAAUUAAUUGGUCGAGAGAUUGUGUUAAGAUUUUUUCUUAAUAUUGUGAUGGUAAUUAUUGAAUAAAAAUAUAAAUAAUUUAAUCUUAACAUAUAUAUACACAUAUGCCAGAGAAGAUUAUAAAAAGAAAACAAGCAAUAACAAGCUAGCUAAGAUAAGAAUUAAGGGCGUACUUAGAGCAAUCAAGAUCAUGUGUAAGUUUAUAAGGACAUUUACUCCGACAAAUAUCAGGAAGCGUAUUAACACGAUCAUAGUUGAGACCAGGGAUCCUAGCAGCACCUUCCUUCACACAAUUACAUUGGGUCCUUCUAUCUUCUGUGGUUUUUGAAGCAGCAUUCAAAGCUCUAAUGCCAUCACAACAAGCUGGUUGAACAGCCCCACCCAAUACGCCAUAGCUGAUGCAUGGUGUCAGCCAGAUUGUCACUUGCUCAC